AGUGAACGCUGGCGGUAGGCCUAACACAUGCAAGUCGAACGGCAGCGCAGUAAGAGCUUGCUCUUACGGGUGGCGAGUGGCGGACGGGUGAGGAAUACAUCGGAAUCUACUUUUUCGUGGGGGAUAACGUAGGGAAACUUACGCUAAUACCGCAUACGACCUACGGGUGAAAGCAGGGGAUCUUCGGACCUUGCGCGAUUGAAUGAGCCGAUGUCGGAUUAGCUAGUUGGCGGGGUAAAGGCCCACCAAGGCGACGAUCCGUAGCUGGUCUGAGAGGAUGAUCAGCCACACUGGAACUGAGACACGGUCCAGACUCCUACGGGAGGCAGCAGUGGGGAAUAUUGGACAAUGGGCGAAAGCCUGAUCCAGCCAUACCGCGUGGGUGAAGAAGGCCUUCGGGUUGUAAAGCCCUUUUGUUGGGAAAGAAAAGCAGCAGGUUAAUACCCCGCUGUUCUGACGGUACCCAAAGAAUAAGCACCGGCUAACUUCGUG
This 492-nucleotide ribosomal RNA is filed under the name uncultured bacterium. RNAcentral's name for it is "partial 16S ribosomal RNA". It matches the Rfam family "Bacterial small subunit ribosomal RNA", at positions 29 to 507 of the family's 1533-position model. The record is from RNAcentral.